This 253-nucleotide ribosomal RNA is filed under the name uncultured bacterium. RNAcentral's name for it is "partial 16S ribosomal RNA". It matches the Rfam family "Bacterial small subunit ribosomal RNA", at positions 524 to 776 of the family's 1533-position model. The record is from RNAcentral.
UACGUAGACAGCGAGCGUUGUCCGGAUUUACUGGGCGUAAAGAGCGCGCAGGCGGUCGUUCAAGUCGCGUGUGAAAGCCCCCGGCUCAACCGGGGAGGGUCACGCGAUACUGAUCGACUCGAAGGCAGGAGAGGGUAGUGGAAUUCCCGGUGUAGUGGUGAAAUGCGUAGAUAUCGGGAGGAACACCAGUGGCGAAGGCGACCACCUGGCCUGUUCUUGACGCUGAGGCGCGAAAGCUAGGGGAGCAAACGGG